GGAUGCAAUCAUACCAGCACUAAAGCACCGGAUCCCAUCAGAACUCUGAAGUUAAGCGUGCUUGGGCGAGAGUAGUACUAGGAUGGGUGACCUCCUGGGAAGUCCUUGUGUUGCGUUCC
Molecule: ribosomal RNA, 119 nt
Filed under: Triticum aestivum (bread wheat)
Lineage: Eukaryota; Viridiplantae; Streptophyta; Magnoliopsida; Poales; Poaceae
Source: RNAcentral